Molecule: transfer RNA, 75 nt
Filed under: Herposiphonia versicolor
Lineage: Eukaryota; Rhodophyta; Florideophyceae; Ceramiales; Rhodomelaceae
Description: tRNA-Cys
Rfam family: tRNA
About the family: Transfer RNA (tRNA) molecules are approximately 80 nucleotides in length. Their secondary structure includes four short double-helical elements and three loops (D, anti-codon, and T loops).
Source: RNAcentral
GGGUUAGAAAGCAUAAUUGGUAUUGCAAUAAAUUGCAAAUUUAUAAGUUAUUGGUUCGAGUCCAAUUCUAACUUA